RNAcentral lists this ribosomal RNA (492 nucleotides) under uncultured bacterium. Its description in RNAcentral is "partial 16S ribosomal RNA". It matches the Rfam family "Bacterial small subunit ribosomal RNA", at positions 29 to 507 of the family's 1533-position model. The record is from RNAcentral.
AGUGAACGCUGGCGGUAGGCCUAACACAUGCAAGUCGAACGGCAGCACAGUAAGAGCUUGCUCUUACGGGUGGCGAGUGGCGGACGGGUGAGGAAUACAUCGGAAUCUACUUUUUCGUGGGGGAUAACGUAGGGAAACUUACGCUAAUACCGCAUACGACCUACGGGUGAAAGCAGGGGAUCUUCGGACCUUGCGCGAUUGAAUGAGCCGAUGUCGGAUUAGCUAGUUGGCGGGGUAAAGGCCCACCAAGGCGACGAUCCGUAGCUGGUCUGAGAGGAUGAUCAGCCACACUGGAACUGAGACACGGUCCAGACUCCGACGGGAGGCAGCAGUGGGGAAUAUUGGACACUGGGCGCAAGCCUGCUCCAGCCAUACCGCGUGGGUGAAGAAGGCCUUCGGGUUGUAAAGCCCUUUUGUUGGGAAAGAAAAGCAGCAGGUUAAUACCCCGCUGUUCUGACGGUACCCAAAGAAUAAGCACCGGCUAACUUCGUG